CCUACGGGUGGCAGCAGUGGGGGAUAUUGCACAAUGGGGGGAACCCUGAUGCAGCGACGCCGCGUGGGUGAAGAAGCGCCUCGGCGCGUAAAGCCCUGUCAGCAGGGAAGAAAAUGACGGUACCUGCAGAAGAAGCCCCUGGCAACUACGUGCCAGCAGCCUCGGUAAGACGUAGGGGGCAAGCUUUAUCCGGAUGUACUGGGUGUAAAGGGGGCGCAGACGUGUAUGCAAGACAGGAGUGAAAGCCCGGGGCCCAACCCCGGGACUGCUCUUGGAACUGCGUGGCUGGAGUGCAGGAGGGGCAGGCGGAAUUCCUGGUGUAGCGGUGAAAUGCGUAGAUAUCAGGAGGAACACCGGUGGCGAAGGCGGCCUGCUGGACUGCAACUGACGUUGAGGCCCGAAAGCGUGGGGAGCAAACAGGAUUAGAUACCCCGGUAGUC
This 440-nucleotide ribosomal RNA is filed under the name uncultured bacterium. RNAcentral's name for it is "partial 16S ribosomal RNA". It matches the Rfam family "Bacterial small subunit ribosomal RNA", at positions 338 to 795 of the family's 1533-position model. The record is from RNAcentral.